This 378-nucleotide unclassified non-coding RNA is filed under the name uncultured Gaiellales bacterium. RNAcentral describes it as "contains 16S-23S intergenic spacer region". The record is from RNAcentral. Lineage: Bacteria; Bacillati; Actinomycetota; Thermoleophilia; Gaiellales.
UCCGGUUUGGCACCGGCAGUCCUCCCAGAGUCCUCGACUUGACUCGCUAGCAACUGGGAGCGGGGGUUGCGCUCGUUGCGGGACUUAACCCAACAUCUCACGACACGAGCUGACGACAGCCAUGCACCACCUGUGCACUGAUCCCGAAGGAGGACCGUAUUUCUACGGUUUUCCAGUGCAUGUCAAGCCCUGGUAAGGUUCUUCGCGUUGCAUCGAAUUAAACCACAUGCUCCGCUGCUUGUGCGGGGCCCCGUCAAUUCCUUUGAGUUUUAACCUUGCGGCCGUAGUCCCCAGGCGGGCAACUUAAGGCGUUAGCUGCGGCACGGAAGGGGUCGAUACCUCCCACACCUAGUUGCCACCGUUUAGGGCGUGGACUAC